This 1588-nucleotide long non-coding RNA is filed under the name Sus scrofa (pig). Its description in RNAcentral is "lncRNA (ENSSSCG00050074579.1)". The record is from RNAcentral. Lineage: Eukaryota; Metazoa; Chordata; Mammalia; Artiodactyla; Suidae.
AUCAUACUCAGAUACUCCCCCUUCUCUUAAUUUUCUUAACCCAUGCAGCUAAAGAACACAUUUUUUUCAUUAAAAUUUUUUAAAAAAUAUUUUUGAUUUAACCAGAAGUCUCAUUCAAACCAAAUGCCUAGUUUUAGGAAGCAGUAGGUCCAUGUAACCCAUUUGCCCAUUGAUUGUGCCACAUUCUUUUCAUGCCUGUGGCGUGUAUUGGCCUGUGACGCCUUACAGCACCAGCACCUGCGCAACCAGAGACCUCGUUACAGCAGAAGGAAAGCCUUAGAAAACAUCUUUGGCUGUUCUGUCUGUAUUCACAGCCAGGACUGAAGACUGCAGGCCUUGUGGCAAAGAGCCCAUCUAGUUCUGUGUCACCCAGAAUGACCAAGCAGGUCAUUUUCUUCCCAGUGCCCCCUUUAUCAUCAUCCUCUAGGGGCAGAAGUUUUGUUUCGUUUUAAAUCUCUUUUUUUUUCUUUUUCUUUUUUUUUCCCCUGAUGGUAGAAGUUUAAGGGAAUAAUCUCUCUGUAUGUCAACUAUGUAUACAUUUAAAGUGUCUGUAUUUUAUCAUCUCAAUUGAUUCUCACAAGAGGCAGAUGGAACGAUUUUCUAUAGGUAGAGGCUGAGAAAAGUUCAAUGACUUUAUCAUGGCCUCAAAGAAAAUUAACGGCAGAGUUCAAAUUAGAACGUUUACUUUUUAUUUUAUUUUAUUUUUUGUCUUUUCUAGGGCCGCAGUCACGGCAUAUGGAGAUUCCCAGGCUAGGGGUCGAAUCGGAGCUGUAGCCGCCGGUCUACGCCAGAGCCACAGCAGCGCAGGAUCCAAGCCGAGUCUGCAACCUACACCGCAGCUCGCGGCAACGCCGAUCCCUUACCCACUGAGCAAGGCUAGGGACCGAACCCACAACCUCAUGGUUCCUAGUCGGAUUCAUUAACCACUGCGCCAAGAGGGGAAUUCCUAGAACUUUUACUUUUUGAUUCUAACCAUGCAGAGCCAUCCAGGAGAAAAAUUCACAAUAUAUUGCUUUGUCUUUGGCUUUCCUUAGUAGUACAGCUAGAAAGGUACUUAAUAUUUCUGAGCCUAGAGCAUAAUAGCAUAAUAACUUAAUAAGCAGUGGUUUUAUUUAUUUUAUUUUGUCUUUUUAGGGCUACACCCACAGCACAUGGAGGUUCCCAGGCUAGGGGUCCAAUUGGAGCUGUAGCCGCCGGCCUACACCACAGCCACAGCAACGCCAGAUCCAAGCCACGCCUGUGACCUACACCACAGCUCCUGGCCAUGCCGGAUCCUUAACCCACUGAACGAGGCCAGGGACUGAACCCAUGACCUCACGGAUACUAGUCAGGUUUGUUAACUGCUGAGCCAUGAUGGGAACGCCUGUGUGUUUUUUGUUUGUUUGUUUUGUAACACCAUUUUUAUGGUAGGGAGAGUGGGCUCCAUUGUACGUCAGGACUGUUUGAGCCAUAUCUCCCCUGGAGCUAUUUUUUCAGAUGGCUGCUGUUUGUUCUGUGGCAGCUAAAGAUCAUUCCUUUGGCAAAAAUGGGACUGUAACAGGCUGCCUGUGCCAGACACUCGCUCUCUCCAGAGACAGGCUGAGUAUUU